RNAcentral lists this ribosomal RNA (253 nucleotides) under uncultured bacterium. RNAcentral's name for it is "partial 16S ribosomal RNA". It matches the Rfam family "Bacterial small subunit ribosomal RNA", at positions 524 to 776 of the family's 1533-position model. The record is from RNAcentral.
UACGUAGGGGGCAAGCGUUGUCCGGAAUCAUUGGGCGUAAAGCGCGUGUAGGCGGCUGGGUAAGUCCGCUCUGAAAGCCCGGGGCUCAACCCCGGGAGGCGGGUGGAUACUGCUCAGCUCGAGUCCGGAAGAGGAGUGUGGAAUUCCUGGUGUAGCGGUGAAAUGCGCAGAUAUCGGGAAGAACACCCGUGGCGAAGGCGGCUCUCUGGGACGGUACUGACGCUGAGACGCGAAAGCGUGGGGAGCGAACAGG